RNAcentral lists this ribosomal RNA (322 nucleotides) under bacterium. RNAcentral describes it as "bacterial SSU rRNA". It matches the Rfam family "Bacterial small subunit ribosomal RNA", at positions 1 to 329 of the family's 1533-position model. RNAcentral also lists the same sequence under 1 other name. The record is from RNAcentral.
UCGACGGAGAGUUUGAUCCUGGCUCAGGACGAACGCUGGCGGCGGGCCUAACACAUGCAAGUCGAACGAGAUGCCUUCGGGUAUCUAGUGGCGAACGGGUGAGUAACACGUGAGGAACCUGCCCCGAAGACGGGGAUAACCGUGGGAAACUGCGGCUAAUACCCGAUACCCCCGAUGCGGCGCAUGCCGCGACGAGGAAAUGCUCCGGUGCUUCGGGAGGGCCUCGCGGCCUAUCAGCUAGUUGGUGAGGUAACGGCUCACCAAGGCUUCGACGGGUAGCUGGUCUGAGAGGACGAUCAGCCACACUGGGACUGAGACACGG